This is a long non-coding RNA of Hevea brasiliensis (rubber tree), 388 nucleotides long. RefSeq lists it as uncharacterized. NCBI's taxonomy places the organism in Eukaryota, Viridiplantae, Streptophyta, Magnoliopsida, Malpighiales, Euphorbiaceae. The transcript has 2 exons. The record is from RefSeq and is a predicted model, not a curated record.
CUUCCUCCGCCCGCCACAGUAAUUUGUCGUCAAGUCUGCCACAGGAGGAUAUUUUGUUCUGGGUUAACCUGCUUUUCUCCUUCGCAGGUGUUUAUCAAUACUUGUGUAAUUUUAUUUACUCCUAGAAUUUUCGCAUGUGUUAGUAGUAAUUAUUUGAAUUUGGUCUGUAAUAUUAUUAUUAUGUUGGACCUGUAAACUAAAUAUGCUAUGCAUGUUUGAUGGAUUGGAUGAGGGAGCUGAGCUCCCAUUUAUUUUAUGUUGAUGAGUAUGUGGAGGGUGAGCUGAGCUCCCCAAAUGACCAUAUAUUGUGUUUACAGGUCGGGUGAGUCGAAAACUCCCCGUUGGUAAGUCCAUUUUAUGGCCGGACUCUGUCCGUUUAUUUUCUUGA